Molecule: ribosomal RNA, 433 nt
Filed under: uncultured bacterium
Lineage: Bacteria
Description: partial 16S ribosomal RNA
Rfam family: Bacterial small subunit ribosomal RNA
Source: RNAcentral
AGCGAACGCUGGCGGCAUGCCUAACACAUGCAAGUCGAACGAGGCCUUCGGGUCUAGUGGCGCACGGGUGCGUAACGCGUGGGAACCUGCCCUUAGGUUCGGAAUAACUCCCCGAAAGGGGUGCUAAUACCGGAUAAUGUCUUCGGACCAAAGAUUUAUCGCCUUUGGAUGGGCCCGCGUUGGAUUAGCUAGUUGGUAGGGUAAAAGCCUACCAAGGCGACGAUCCAUAGCUGGUCUGAGAGGAUGAUCAGCCACACUGGGACUGAGACACGGCCCAGACUCCUACGGGAGGCAGCAGUGGGGAAUAUUGGACAAUGGGCGAAAGCCUGAUCCAGCAAUGCCGCGUGAGUGAUGAAGGCCUUAGGGUUGUAAAGCUCUUUUACCCGGGAUGAUAAUGACAGUACCGGGAGAAUAAGCUCCGGCUAACUCCGUG